Molecule: small RNA, 2169 nt
Filed under: Pan troglodytes (chimpanzee)
Lineage: Eukaryota; Metazoa; Chordata; Mammalia; Primates; Hominidae
Description: retained intron
Source: RNAcentral
AGAAAGACCUGGAUGAGCUGGGCGGGUUGGGGAGUCCUGUGGAUGGGGGCGUCCUGUGGAUGGGGACGGGUCUGACUGGGCUGGGCAUGGCAGUUUCUGAGGGGGCGCUAUCUGAACUGUGAGGCAUGAAACACCCCCACACCUGGUCUUCCUCCAGCCCCUGGGCUGCUCUACUCUCAGAGGCUCACUUCUUUCCCUCCCUGCCUGGGUUUUCUCCCAGCAAAGGGUGGAAGCUGCUGGUCUGGAGGGGGCGUGCCUGGAAGCCGAGGCCCAGCAGAGAACCUUGCUCUGGAAUCAGGGGUCCACACUCCCCUCCCUGAUGGACUCGAAGGCCUGCCAGUCCUUCCACGAGGCCCUAGAAGCCUGGGCAAAGGGACCAGGUGCCGAGCCCUUCUACAUUCGUGCCAACCUCACCUUACCUGAGAGGGCAGAUCCCCAUGCCCUUUGCGUGAAAGCCCAAGAGAUCCUUCGACUGGUGGACUCGGCAUACAAGCGGAGGCAGGAAUGGUUCUGCACCCGGGUUGACCCCCUCACUCUGCGGGACCUGGACCGGGGCACCGUGCCCAAUUAUCAGAGAGCCCAGCAGCUCCUAGAAGUUCAGGAGAAAUGCCUGCCCUCCAGCCGGCACCGAGGCCCCCGCAGUAAUCUGAAGAAGAGAGCCCUGGACCAACUGCGGCUGGUGAGGCCCAAGCCCGUGGGGGCGCCUGCAGCGGACUCCCCGGAUCAGCUGCUGCUGGAGCCCUGUGCAGAGCCGGAGCGGAGCCUCAGACCCUACAGUUUGGUGCGGCCGCUACUGGUGUCUGCCCUGCGGCCCGUGGUGCUGUUGCCUGAGUGCCUGGCGCCCCGGCUCAUCCGUAACCUGCUAGACCUGCCCAGCUCCCGGCUGGACUUCCAAGUGUGCCCAGCGGAAAGCCUCUCUGGGGAGGAACUGUGCCCAUCCUCAGCGCCUGGAGCCCCCAAGGCUCAGCCUGCCACCCCUGGGCUAGGCAGCAGGAUCCGGGCCAUCCAGGAGUCUGUUGGGAAGAAGCACUGCCUGCUGGAGCUGGGUGCUCGGGGUGUGCGGGAGCUGGUGCAGAACGAGAUCUACCCCAUCGUCAUCCACGUGGAGGUGACUGAGAAGAAUGUCCGGGAAGUCAGGGGUCUGCUGGGCCGGCCGGGCUGGCGGGACUCAGAGCUGCUGCGGCAGUGCCGUGGCUCAGAGCAGGUGCUCUGGGGGCUGCCCUGCUCCUGGGUGCAGGUGCCCGCCCAUGAGUGGGGACACGCAGAGGAGCUGGCCAAGGUGGUGCGCGGCCGCAUCCUGCAGGAGCAGGCCCGCCUCGUGUGGGUGGAGUGCGGCAGCAGCAGAGGCUGCCCCAGCAGCAGUGAGGCCUGAGGCUCAUCUGAUACCUGCACCUUCUUCCCAAGCCAGCGUGGACCCUGGUGUCUGUGGUGAAGCUGGGCCCUCCCACCCUGAGCCUUCCUAGACCCUUGGACUCUCAGAUGCAGGGCCCUUGGCUCUGGCCUCUCACCCCCAAGGCUGUCUCUGGCCCUGCCGAGCCUGUGGGAGUCCCGGGACAGAGCGCCCACCCCCCUCUACUUGCUGCUCUGGGCCUCCCCACCUUUGCUGGGGUCUCCACAUUCCCACUAGUGGGUCUUAUGUGUGUCUGUGUCUUCUCCUUAAACACUCGCCCUGGAGUCUGUUCUCACACCUGUGCGCAGGUUUGCACACUCAAGUUCUCAUGGGCAGGCUCAGGUCUGUCCCGCUGCCCUGGGCACGAGGUCUCCUGAGGACCUGGGCCUGUUCUGCUCCUAGGAGACCCGAGCCCGUUACCGCGUGACUCCCACCAUCCAGCUCACGCUCCUCAUGGAUUCAGCCAUGCAUGGACUGGGGUCUUCCCUGGCCCACGGUCACCUGUGCCCCUCGUGUCUCCUCACAUGGGUGUCUGUGGUUCUCUCCUGUGUAAAUGUCACGCCCCACCCCUGUUUCAUGUGGGCACUAACACGCGUGCGUUCCUGGCGGGCACACUCAGGACCGUGCCUCACAAGGCCCACUCCCUGCCUACGCCUCCCUCUUGGGGGGCCGAGGAGGGCGGCUGCUCUGUCAUGAGAAUGUACGGCCCGUGGAUGAUUAACGGGCCUUUUUCACUUAGAAGCUGCACAUUAUGGAACAUUAAACACUUUUGUCAUAGA